AUGAAGCUCUGUUGGCAAAAAUCCAUCCAUGGUUCUUAAAGAAACAUGGGAAGAAGUGUGAGAGGGUCCUUAACUCCUCACACUCUCCCACUUCCAACAGUUUGCUUGUGCUUAGCUAUUGGCUUCUCUAAUCACCAAGGGAUAUGCUGAAACAUUCUCAUUCUCUCUGAGUAGCAGAAGCAGAUAAGCAUUCUCUAAAGGAGGAGAGGCUUUGGCUACAGCUUGGCAAACCGGCAAGUCACAAAAAGGCAAUGGACUCCAUUAGGGGUUCU
This 272-nucleotide small RNA is filed under the name Sesbania rostrata. RNAcentral describes it as "Early nodulin 40". It matches the Rfam family "Early nodulin 40". Lineage: Eukaryota; Viridiplantae; Streptophyta; Magnoliopsida; Fabales; Fabaceae. The record is from Rfam by way of RNAcentral.